AUAUAUCUGCGAUGUUCGAGCAGCUCUAGUAAUUCAACCGACAAGACAGACACGGGAGUCUGUGUUCGGCAAAGGAUAACAAGCCUCCUUGAGAGGACGUUUGAUGUUGUCGACAAGAAACCCACCUUAUUAAAGGGCGGGUCUGAAUUCCAAGAGUUAUACGGCACCGCGGAUUCAAA
RNAcentral lists this non-coding RNA (179 nucleotides) under Tissierellia bacterium. RNAcentral describes it as "6S RNA". It matches the Rfam family "6S / SsrS RNA". From Rfam's summary of the family: E. coli 6S RNA was the first non coding RNA to be sequenced, but its function was unknown until recently. It consists of 184 nucleotides that fold into an extended hairpin structure with a large single-stranded internal bulge. The 6S RNA specifically associates with RNA polymerase holoenzyme containing the sigma70 specificity factor. Lineage: Bacteria; Bacillati; Bacillota; Tissierellia. The record is from RNAcentral.